UACGGAGGAGGCAAGCGUUAUCCGGAGUUAUUGGGCGUAAAGCGUCCGCAGGUGGCACCUCAAGUCUGCUGUCAAAGACCGGGGCUUAACCCCAGAAAGGCAGUGGAAACUGAAGCGCUAGAGUGCAGUAGGGGUAGAGGGAAUUCCCGGUGUAGCGGUGAAAUGCGUAGAGAUCGGGAAGAACAUCGGUGGCGAAAGCGCUCUGCUGGACUGCAACUGACACUCAGGGACGAAAGCUAGGGGAGCGAAUGGG
Molecule: ribosomal RNA, 253 nt
Filed under: uncultured bacterium
Lineage: Bacteria
Description: partial 16S ribosomal RNA
Rfam family: Bacterial small subunit ribosomal RNA
Source: RNAcentral